UUGACCUCAAAUCAGGUAGGACUACCCGCUGAACUUAAGCAUAUCAAUAAGCGGAGGAAAAGAAACUAACAAGGAUUCCCCUAGUAACUGCGAGUGAAGAGGGAAAAGCUCAAAUUUAAAAUCUGGCAGUCUUUUGAUUGUCCGAGUUGUAAUUUAGAGAAGUGUUACCCGUGUUGGGCCGUGUAUAAGUCUCCUGGAAUGGAGCGUCAUAGAGGGUGAGAAUCCCGUCUUUGACACGGACUUCCAAUGCAUUGUGGUAUGCUCUCGAAGAGUCGAGUUGUUUGGGAAUGCAGCUCUAAAUGGGUGGUAAAUUCCAUCUAAAGCUAAAUAUUGGGGAGAGACCGAUAGCGAACAAGUACCGUGAGGGAAAGAUGAAAAGAACUUUGGAAAGAGAGUUAAACAGUACGUGAAAUUGCUGAAAGGGAAACGCUUGAAGUCAGUCGCGUUAGUUCGGGAUCAGCCUUCCUUUUGGUUGGUGUACUUCCUUACUGAUGGGUCAGCAUCAGUUUUGAUCAGUGGAUAAGAGCUUGAGGAAUGUGGCAUCUUCGGGUGUGUUAUAGACUCUUGCUGUAUACAUUGAUUGGGACUGAGGAACUCAGCACGCCGCAAGGCCGGGU
This 617-nucleotide ribosomal RNA is filed under the name Collybiopsis menehune. RNAcentral's name for it is "eukaryotic LSU rRNA". It matches the Rfam family "Eukaryotic large subunit ribosomal RNA", at positions 1 to 616 of the family's 3401-position model. Lineage: Eukaryota; Fungi; Basidiomycota; Agaricomycetes; Agaricales; Omphalotaceae. The record is from RNAcentral.